Molecule: transfer RNA, 75 nt
Filed under: Bacteroidota bacterium
Lineage: Bacteria; Pseudomonadati; Bacteroidota
Description: Bacteroidetes bacterium (hot springs metagenome) tRNA-Val
Rfam family: tRNA
About the family: Transfer RNA (tRNA) molecules are approximately 80 nucleotides in length. Their secondary structure includes four short double-helical elements and three loops (D, anti-codon, and T loops).
Source: RNAcentral
GGGGGAUUAGCUCAGCUGGUUUAGAGCGCUUGCUUCACACGCAAGAGGUCACUGGUUCGAAUCCAGUAUUUCCCA